AAUGAUGUAGUUUAAUGGUAGAGCGUGGGAAUCAUAAUCCUAAUGUUGUAGGUUCAAAUCCUACCAUCAUUA
This 72-nucleotide transfer RNA is filed under the name Phytophthora quercina. Its description in RNAcentral is "tRNA-Met". It matches the Rfam family "tRNA". From Rfam's summary of the family: Transfer RNA (tRNA) molecules are approximately 80 nucleotides in length. Lineage: Eukaryota; Oomycota; Peronosporomycetes; Peronosporales; Peronosporaceae. The record is from RNAcentral. RNAcentral also lists the same sequence under 7 other names.